UGGUUCCCGCAUCGAUGAAGAACGCAGCGAAACGCGAUAGUUAAUGUGAAUUGCAGAAUUCAGUGAAUCAUCGAGUCUUUGAACGCACAUUGCGCCUUUUGGUAUUCCGAGAGGCACGCCUGUCUGAGCGUCAGCAAACUCUUCGGCCAAUAAAUUUUUAUUGCCGGUGUUGGCGGGGGUCCUUUAGGGGCCCCCCGCUUAAACCUGACGCGGGGCGAACCGGAUUCAGCGAUAAUAGUAACAAUUCUUUUGUUGAGGCAUCCGGCUGGCACCCAAUCAAAAAAUAGGCCUAAAAAACCUUGACUUUUGACCUCAGAUCAGACGAGGAUACCCGCUGA
Molecule: unclassified non-coding RNA, 338 nt
Filed under: uncultured fungus
Lineage: Eukaryota; Fungi
Description: partial contains 5.8S ribosomal RNA and internal transcribed spacer 2
Rfam family: 5.8S ribosomal RNA (bases 1-133)
Source: RNAcentral